GACGAACGCUGGCGGCGUGCUUAACACAUGCAAGUCGAACGGAAAGGCCCUGCUUUUGUGGGGUGCUCGAGUGGCGAACGGGUGAGUAACACGUGAGUAACCUGCCCUUGACUUUGGGAUAACUUCAGGAAACUGGGGCUCAUACCGGGUAGGAGCUCCUGCUGCAUGGUGGGGGUUGGAAAGUUUCGGCGGUUGGGGAUGGACUCGCGGCGUAUCAGCUUGUUGGUGGGGUAGUGGCUUACCAAGGCUUUGAAGGGUAGCCGGCCUGCGAGGGUGACCGGCCACGUUGGGACUGGGAUACGGCCCAGACUCCUAUGGGACGCAGCAGUGGGGAAUAUUGCACAAUGGGCGGGAGCCUGAUGCAGCAACGCCGCGUGCGGGAUGACGGGCUGCGGGUUGUAAACCGCUUUCGCCUGAGACGAGGCGUGAGUGACGGUAAUGGGUAAAGAAGCACCGGCUAACUACGUG
RNAcentral lists this ribosomal RNA (468 nucleotides) under uncultured bacterium. Its description in RNAcentral is "partial 16S ribosomal RNA". It matches the Rfam family "Bacterial small subunit ribosomal RNA", at positions 28 to 507 of the family's 1533-position model. The record is from RNAcentral.